CCAUACAUAGGACCAGUGGGACCUCCAGGAAAAACCAAACCAGAGGUCCUCUUUGAAUACUGUUGACUGACAGUGCUGGCGGGCUGGCAGGAUGGAUAGCAUGACUGGCAGACACUGCUGGGGUGGCAUGCCUCCACAGGCCGUGUAGAGUGCCAGCUUGCCCACAGGGAUGCCCAUGCCGUAGCAGCCCAGGUCCCCCAGGCCCAGGAUCCUCUCUCCGUCUGUCACACACACCGCCUGUCAAUCACAUCACAUCACACCUGUCAAUCAUACCUUGCUGUCGGGGGGAGACGUUGACCCCAUGAUCCUGAGAUGAGGGAGGAGAGGUGUCCUCAGUGCCUCUGACACCUUUCCCCCGAUCCCCUCACAACAUCUGUACAGGGCCUCCAGCUCCUUCUCCAUCCCUUAGGAACAGUACUGGUGUUAUAAUAGGACUUCAGUCACAUCCCCUAGGCUGAAGAGAAAGGGGAAAGGGGUGAGAUAUUCCGUGAGAAGGGGGCGAGAGCUGAGCUUUCUCACCAAGAGUCUAAUGGCCCCAUACUCAGAAUCAUAGUACCUCUCAGAAUCACCUCAUCUGGAUCUAGGUGUAAAAAUAAAAGGUAAUCUUGAGUGGAAGGAGACAAUACUGUUUAACAAUGUAUAUGAGAGAUCAAAUGUGUUAAAAAUGCACACCUUGAGAUUGAUACAGAAUGAAGUUGGUGAGGAGUGUUUGUGGAGUCUGUCUAUAAGAACUUGAGCACUGAUAGGUGGAUGGUGUCCCAACUGUCCUGUGAGGAUCCGAAUAGGUCAGACCAGCUUUGCAAUAAAUAACUUCAACCAGACCCCCUCUCACCCGCAGAGGGGGGGGGACUGGUGGGGUUUGACAGCUCACACCCCGUUGUAAAUCAAGGACAGAACACUCAGCAUCUCUCUAAAUUCACCCAAGGAAUGUGCCUUUGUUUUAAGAAGAUUUUCCACCAAAACUCUAACACGUUCAAAAGCAAAUACUGGAACAAUAUUUCUAACAUAGAACGUGGGGAAUAUUUCUAACAUAGAACGAGGGGAAUGGGCUUUGUGUUUUCUUGAUUUGCUUACCUAUUUAAGCUUGUGAAGCUCGCCCUUGUGUGUGCGGGAUUAUAUUUUGUUCACGUCUUGUAUCGGGGGUGUUAUUGUGCUCCGGAUCGUUGUUACCCUGUGUUUUGGGUUGGUCAGUGUUUUGGCCCUGUGUUUUGGGCAUGUCAGUGUUUUGGCCCUGUGUUUUGGGCAUGUCAGUGUUUUGGCCCUGUGUUUUGGGCAUGUCAGUGUUUUGGCCCUGUGUUUUGGGCAUGUCAGUGUUUUGCCCCUGUGUUUUGGGCAUGUCAGUGUUUUGCCCCUGUGUUUUGGGCAUGUCAGUGUUUUGCCCUGUGUUUUGGGCAUGUCAGUGUUUUCGCCCUGUGUUUUGGGCAUGUCAGUGUUUUCGCCCUGUGUUUUGGGCAUGUCAGUGUUUCCGCCCUGUGUUUUGGGCUGGUCAGUGUUUUCGCCCUGUGUUUUGGGCAUGUCAGUGUUUUCGCCCUGUGUUUUGGGCAUGUCAGUGUUUUUGCCCUGUGUUUUGGGCAUGUCAGUGUUUUUGCCCUGUGUUUUGGGCAUGUCAGUGUUUCCGCCCUGUGUUUUGGGCUGGUCAGUGUUUUCGCCCUGUGUUUUGGGCAUGUCAGUGUUUUUGCCCUGUGUUUUGGGCAUGUCAGUGUUUUCGCCCUGUGUUUGGGUUGGUCAGUGUUUUCGCCCUGUGUUUUGGGCAUGACCAUUUUUGUGCCUGGAUUAAAGUGCAUUUCUCCGUG
This is a non-coding RNA of Oncorhynchus mykiss (rainbow trout), 1793 nucleotides long. Lineage: Eukaryota; Metazoa; Chordata; Actinopteri; Salmoniformes; Salmonidae. The record is from RefSeq and is a predicted model, not a curated record.